GCCUGGCUGGCUCAAUCGGUAGAGCCUGUGACUCUUGAUCUUGGAGUCGUGAGUUCAAGCCUCAUGUUGGGCA
RNAcentral lists this transfer RNA (73 nucleotides) under Felis catus (domestic cat). It matches the Rfam family "tRNA". From Rfam's summary of the family: Transfer RNA (tRNA) molecules are approximately 80 nucleotides in length. Lineage: Eukaryota; Metazoa; Chordata; Mammalia; Carnivora; Felidae. The record is from Rfam by way of RNAcentral.